This 468-nucleotide ribosomal RNA is filed under the name uncultured bacterium. RNAcentral's name for it is "bacterial SSU rRNA". It matches the Rfam family "Bacterial small subunit ribosomal RNA", at positions 328 to 792 of the family's 1533-position model. The record is from RNAcentral.
GCCCCAGACUCCUACGGGAGGCAGCAGUGAGGAAUAUUGGUCAAUGGGCUUACGCCUGAACCAGCCAAGUCGCGUGAGGGAAGACUGCCCUAUGGGUUGUAAACCUCUUUUGUCAGGGAGCAACGCCGGCUACGUGUAGCCGGACUGAGAGUACCUGAAGAAAAAGCAUCGGCUAACUCCGUGCCAACAGCCGCGGUAAUACGGAGGAUGCGAGCGUUAUCCGGAUUUACUGGGUGUAAAGGGAGCGCAGGCGGCACGGCAAGCCUGAUGUGAAAGCCCGCGGCCCAACCGCGGGACUGCAUUGGGAACUACCGGGCUGGAGUGCCGGAGAGGUAGGCGGAAUUCCUAGUGUAGCGGUGAAAUGCGUAGAUAUUAGGAGGAGCACCAGUGGCGAAGGCGGCCUACUGGACGGUGACUGACGCUGAGGCUCGAAAGCGUGGGGAGCAAACAGGAUUAGAUACCCCUGUA